GUGGAGGUCAGAGGUCAACCUCUGUGGGGGGUUAAGUGGGUGGGGUCGGUCAGUUCUCUCCCUCCACCCCGGAGGUUCCAGGCAUCAAACUCAGGUCACCAGGCUUGUCCGCAAGCAGUUUUAUCUGCUGAGCUACGUCCGGCUCUGAAACAUUAGAAGAGUUUAAUCGGGAAAGGGGGCCUUGCAGGCAUAAUUGUUAAAGAUCUUGGGAUAAAGAUCAUUGAUUAGUGUGGCUUCUUAAUCCAAUGACCCCUGUCCUUGUCAGAGAUCUGAAGGACGAGAGAGGUACAAGAGGAGAAGGUUAGACCCCUGCAGCCACCAGGGAGGACAGAACCCACUGGAGUAAGGCAGAGAGGCGUUCCGGGAGCCUUUGGGAGGAUUGAAUCCGUAGACGAAUCAAUGAUGCUCUUCUUAUCUCGAGCUCCUUGCGGGUGCUGGCUAUGUCUGCUUGCUGACACCUUCAUUGCAGUCUUCCACCCUCCAACACAGUAGCAAGAUACCGUGUGGCGUUGCAAGGUGUCCUACCGGCAGUGAGGCAGUGAUUCGUUUGCAAGCAGCCCAGGAGGCUAAUUCACCCUUGACCUACCCACGCGGGAAUGUAACAACCUGCAGCUGAGCCACGGGAGUUCUGAGGAGAGGGAAGGUUCUUUAACAUUUGCCCUUGGGGCUGUUUGGGUUAGACACCAUUAAGGCCUUCUGCUCGGAGCUGGGAGAGCUGAGAUAAGUAGUUCUAUCUCUCUGAGCCUUGGCUCCUCCAUGUGCAAGAGCAGAGACCGCCCACCACCUCCCAUGCCCCGCCUACCUCCCCCACCUCCACCCCCAUCCCACAAGGGAGAUAGCGGGAUGCUCCGAGACCAUCUGCCAUCCCAGGAAUGCAGAGUUAAGCUUAAGAUUCAGUCCAGUCCCUUCCUGCCUUCCUAUCACAGCAAGCUGCUGCGUGUGGUUGGGGCCGUUUAUGGGGAUCUGAGAAGCUAAAUGGCCAGCGGUCUGUUGAACUGUGGCUGUGUCUUUUUUAGCACUGGGCUUUUUUGGAUAAAGCAAAGGCCCAGAGGGUGACUAGAUGGCUCCGUGGAUAAAGCACUUGCUCCACAAGCAAAAGGACCCGAGUUCAAUUCCCAGCAUCCAUGAAGAGAAAGUUGGGCGUUGCUGAAAUCCCAGCACUGAGAAGGCGCCUACAGGAACGACCACCUGCUCUGCAAAUCUGCCUCGUUGUUCCUCGAGAGGCUGUUGGCGACAGAAAGCCUGAAGAAUCAGCCUGGGGCUCCCAAGCGUGGUGCUUGGCCUGGAUGAAAGUGCCUAGAAGUGCUGACUCUCAAGCCAGCAGACUCUGCACACUAUAGGCUACACUGCACUAUACACCGAGCCCCGCACCCAGCCCUUCGGCUUCAGCAAAAUCACAAGUGAGUCGUCCUUGCCCGCCCAGAGAGUUUGGGGAAUUACAGCUGCUCUGCCGCUUCUGGUACACGGCCAGGAAAAAACACAAGGAAGUGUGUGAGGCUAACAUUAGGAAGCCGCGGUACUGUUUUCGAAUGUGAGUUGGGUCCAGAGCCAUCCCAAAGUCCGGGAUGCCAACACCUAGGUCUGAUGGUUUCUGACACCUAGAGAAAGGCCCGUCUCCAUGUCCUUCUCCAGAGCCACUGAGGAUGUGCUGUGAUUUGGAUCCAACAUAAUAAUGCAUGUGGAAGCCAGGAAAGCCAGGUUUUAGGCAGUCUCAGAACAUCUGGUGAAUUCAGCUUGGGAAAAAAAAAAAAAAAAAAACGGGCAAAGGGAGAGAGGACAGAGCCCUCUGGAAGCAGUUGCCAGGUACUGGGUAUCCAAAAACAUUGUACGGGUUGACCCAAGUGUUCUCGCUUCCCUCCUCCCUAGUUAGUGGAAUGGAACCCAUGAGAUUGGCGAUGUUAGAAAUUCAGAGGAGAAAAAUGGCUCUUGGCACCAUUGGCAAACACAUGGAGGUCUAUGCCUGGACGACGAGGGGAACGCACGUCUCUCGGAGUUCCCGCCUGCGGUGCGAAUAGAAUGUUCCCGUUCAGAAGUGGAACUACUCACCUGGAUCCGACGCGGGUGACAUGGCACCCGGAGGCUUUAAAAAAAAAAUCUCGGUCCCUAAUGAGAAACAGCCGCGUGCGGAAUAAAAUUAGUGUGCGUUGUGUAAUCCCAGCUGGCCAGUUGCAAGAACGGGGAGGAGGCAGGCGCUGAGGGAACAGGCCCUGGAGCCCAUCCUGACCCUCUGGGUUGGAAUUUCUGAGUCUCUUCUUUGCCUUGAGUCAAAAUAGGAAACCGAACCCUGACCGCGUGCUUCUUUUUAUAGAAUCGAACUUUCUUGCCAGCUUCCUUCGGAGCGCAAGAUCGUCCCUCUUGGUCUCUAAACAAUACGCCAAUCAUCAGAUGUGAGUGAGGAGAGGGGAGGAGGGAGUUAGUGUUCUGGGAGCACCAGACAUAACCCAGGCCCAGGGCCCAAGACAAACACCGAGCCCCGAGUUUGGCUUCCGUACCAGACCUGGUAAAUACAACAUGUUUUUACAGGUUGGGAAA
RNAcentral lists this small RNA (2532 nucleotides) under Rattus norvegicus (Norway rat). RNAcentral describes it as "uncharacterized LOC102552995". The record is from RNAcentral. Lineage: Eukaryota; Metazoa; Chordata; Mammalia; Rodentia; Muridae.